Molecule: transfer RNA, 68 nt
Filed under: Sphaerodactylus townsendi
Lineage: Eukaryota; Metazoa; Chordata; Lepidosauria; Squamata; Sphaerodactylidae
Description: tRNA-Ala
Rfam family: tRNA (bases 1-61)
About the family: Transfer RNA (tRNA) molecules are approximately 80 nucleotides in length. Their secondary structure includes four short double-helical elements and three loops (D, anti-codon, and T loops). Further hydrogen bonds mediate the characteristic L-shaped molecular structure. tRNAs have two regions of fundamental functional importance: the anti-codon, which is responsible for specific mRNA codon recognition, and the 3' end, to which the tRNAs corresponding amino acid is attached (by aminoacyl-tRNA synthetases). tRNAs cope with the degeneracy of the genetic code in two manners: having more than one tRNA (with a specific anti-codon) for a particular amino acid; and 'wobble' base-pairing, i.e. permitting non-standard base-pairing at the 3rd anti-codon position.
Source: RNAcentral
GGGGCUGUGGCUCAGUGGUAGAGCAUCUACUUUGCAUGUAGAAUGUCACAGUUCAGUCCCCAGCAUCU